GAUGAACGCUGGCGGCGUGCUUAACACAUGCAAGUCGAACGAAGCACUUAAUGAGAUUUCUUCGGAUUGAUUAUUUUGUGACUGAGUGGCGGACGGGUGAGUAACGCGUGGGUAACCUGCCCCAGACCGGGGGAUAACAGUCGGAAACGACUGCUAAUACCGCAUAAGCGCACAGUGCCGCAUGGCACAGUGUGAAAAACUCCGGUGGUCUGGGAUGGACCCGCGUCCGAUUAGCCAGUUGGCAGGGUAACGGCCUACCAAAGCGACGAUCAGUAGCCGGCCUGAGAGGGUGAACGGCCACAUUGGGACUGAGACACGGCCCAAACUCCUACGGGAGGCAGCAGUGGGGAAUAUUGCACAAUGGGGGAAACCCUGAUGCAGCGACGCCGCGUGAGUGAUGAAGUAUUUCGGUAUGUAAAACUCUAUCAGCAGGGAAGAUAAUGACGGUACCUGACUAAGAAGCACCGGCUAAAUACGUGCCAGCAGCCG
Molecule: ribosomal RNA, 489 nt
Filed under: uncultured bacterium
Lineage: Bacteria
Description: bacterial SSU rRNA
Rfam family: Bacterial small subunit ribosomal RNA
Source: RNAcentral